Molecule: long non-coding RNA, 207 nt
Filed under: Elaeis guineensis (African oil palm)
Lineage: Eukaryota; Viridiplantae; Streptophyta; Magnoliopsida; Arecales; Arecaceae
Description: long non-coding RNA (EGUI_LNC008597)
Source: RNAcentral
CCUAUGAAUCUGAACAAAAUCUGGAUCGUAAUCAACUCUUUGAUCUUUUUUUUAAUCUUCUUAUUUUCUUUUUUUUUUAAUCUCCUUCACUUGAUUUUGCAACAAUCAAGCUCUAAAAAUUAGCAACCAAGAGAGAUGCCCAACCUCCUUUGGGCGUUGAAGAUGGGGAUGCCCAACAAUGCUUGGGUGUUGGAACCAAGAGGGAGU